Molecule: non-coding RNA, 267 nt
Organism: Erythranthe guttata (spotted monkey flower)
Lineage: Eukaryota; Viridiplantae; Streptophyta; Magnoliopsida; Lamiales; Phrymaceae
Source: RefSeq, a predicted model, not a curated record
AAAUCGAAUUCCAGCCUUUGGCUCUUCAAAGAAUUAAUUGAACGGAGGCCUUAGAGGGUGAAUCUCGACGACCAGGACCCACGGUUAGAAACCUUGAGAAGUCAGCCUUCCAUAGGUGCAGCGUGCAUACAAGGUGUUUGAUAAAAUACUGGAACCAGACUCCAACUUUGGAGUGCAAAAACAUUUUUUCAAUUGGAGCUUAAACUGUGAUGAAUUGACGAUGGAUCAAGCAUCGGCUAUUAAGUAAUUGUUCUCGGUGGUAUUCAU